GUGCUCACUUCAGCACAUAUACUAAAAUUGGAAUGAUAGAGAAGAUUAGCAUGGCCCUUAAGCAAGGAUGACAUGCAAAUUCAUGAAGUGUUGCAUAUUUUA
This 102-nucleotide small nuclear RNA is filed under the name Panthera tigris altaica (Amur tiger). The record is from RNAcentral. Lineage: Eukaryota; Metazoa; Chordata; Mammalia; Carnivora; Felidae.